Molecule: ribosomal RNA, 731 nt
Filed under: uncultured bacterium
Lineage: Bacteria
Description: bacterial SSU rRNA
Rfam family: Bacterial small subunit ribosomal RNA
Source: RNAcentral
AACAGGAUUAGAUACCCUGGUAGUCCACGCCGUAAACGAUGAGUGCUAGGUGUUAGGGGGUUUCCGCCCCUUAGUGCUGAAGUUAACGCAUUAAGCACUCCGCCUGGGGAGUACGGCCGCAAGGCUGAAACUCAAAAGAAUUGACGGGGGCCCGCACAAGCGGUGGAGCAUGUGGUUUAAUUCGAAGCAACGCGAAGAACCUUACCAGGUCUUGACAUCCUCUGAUGACGGUAGAGAUACCGAGUUCCCUUCGGGGACAGAGUGACAGGUGGUGCAUGGUUGUCGUCAGCUCGUGUCGUGAGAUGUUGGGUUAAGUCCCGCAACGAGCGCAACCCUUAAUCUUAGUUGCCAGCAUUAAGUUGGGCACUCUAAGGUGACUGCCGGUGACAAACCGGAGGAAGGUGGGGAUGACGUCAAAUCAUCAUGCCCCUUAUGACCUGGGCUACACACGUGCUACAAUGGAUGGAACAAAGGGCAGCGAAGCGGCGACGCAUUAGCUAAUCCCAUAAAACCAUUCUCAGUUCGGAUUGCAGGCUGCAACUCGCCUGCAUGAAGCCGGAAUCGCUAGUAAUCGCGGAUCGGCAUGCCGCGGUGAAUACGUUCCCGGGCCUUGUACACACCGCCCGUCACACCACGAGAGUUGGCAACACCCGAAGUCGGUGAGGUAACCUUUUGGAGCCAGCCGCCGAAGGUGGGGCCAAUGAUCGGGGUGAAGUCGUAACAAGGUAACC